UGGGGUGGGCAUGCAAAAGAUUGAAAGGGAUCUUUUGCAAACACAAUCACGUCCUUAAAUGGAAAUGCGGGGCUUGAAACAAAUCUUCCAUCUCUGGCGUCGCAUUCGCCUCAAAAGUGGCCAGUGGGCCGCACGUCGCCCUCCUCGCGGACGCCAAAGUGCUGCCGUUCAACUCGCUUUCCUCCUUCUUCUCCUUCUUCUUCUUCUUCUUCUUCUUUUUCUUCUUCGUGGUCGUCGUCGCCACGCACGCCAACCUUGACGCGUGCGCAGUCGAUUUAUUGACAGCGGCGUUGGGGCGCACGAGACAUAUUUUGGGGGCAGCUUUGAAAGGUUCGGGUGAAGAUAAGCAGAGGAAUUUCAGCCCAGUGAAUAUGGAUUGGGUCUCUACUUCUAGACAACAGCACGGAUACAGAGCGGCUGAGUGAGGAGUUGGUGGGCGGGGCCUCCAGCAGUGCACCUGUCAUGAGUUUGACAAUCAGCUGUUUUGGAAGGGAAGCUGAGGCAUGUUCUUCUAAUCUUAUUCAGAGCCGCUUCCUGGUUAAUGUUCUCCUUUGGGCCCGUUGUUUCCACCUGCGGCUAGCUUUGCCUUACACUCGUAGAGCUGCGGGUUCAAACCGGGAUGGAUUUACACUGCCAGGUCGCGCGCAACUCACCUUGCAAUCGCCUCACGACGCUUGACUUGACUUGACAUUUCAUUCAUGUUUUCUGCAACCAUCAGCACCGGCUGCAAAGCGACAGCGGGAAAGCCUUUCUUUCCGUCGAGCCCCAUACUGGGCGACGACCAAGAACGGGUGUGCAAAGGUUUUCGCCGCCGUGACGUUCACAAAGUCCCGAUUUCACGUCAUUCAUUUUCCAUUGGCCGAUUUUGCUUACAGCAAACACCUUCACGACUUCAACUUCAUAAGAACGACCUGGAUAUUUUUCCCACCAAAUAGUGAAAAGGCCCUUCGGUACGAUGAACCACGGGAAGCUAACUCGCUUUCAGGAUUGAUUUUCAUCUUUCUUGAUGUGGGUAACAAACAUCUUUUCGAUUUGCAGAACAGUUCCUGCUCCCUUCAAUAUUCU
This is a long non-coding RNA of Hippocampus zosterae (dwarf seahorse), 1065 nucleotides long. RefSeq lists it as uncharacterized. The record is from RefSeq and is a predicted model, not a curated record. Lineage: Eukaryota; Metazoa; Chordata; Actinopteri; Syngnathiformes; Syngnathidae. The transcript is spliced from 3 exons.